This 460-nucleotide ribosomal RNA is filed under the name uncultured bacterium. RNAcentral describes it as "partial 16S ribosomal RNA". It matches the Rfam family "Bacterial small subunit ribosomal RNA", at positions 338 to 795 of the family's 1533-position model. The record is from RNAcentral.
CCUACGGGUGGCAGCAGUGAGGAAUAUUGGUCAAUGGACGCAAGUCUGAACCAGCCAUGCCGCGUGCAGGAAGACGGCUCUAUGAGUUGUAAACCGCUUUUGUACGAGGGUAAACGCAGAUACGCGUAUCUGGCUGAAAGUAUCGUACGAAUAAGGAUCGGCUAACUCCGUGCCAGCAGCCGCGGUAAUACGGAGGAUUCGAGCGUUAUCCGGAUUUAUUGGGUUUAAAGGGUGCGUAGGCGGCCGGAUAAGUUAGAGGUGAAAUCCCGGGGCUCUACUUCGGCAUUGCCUCUGAUACUGUUGGGCUAGAGAGUAGUUGCGGUAGGCGGAAUGUGUGGUGUAGCGGUGAAAUGCUUAGAGAUCAUACAGAACACCGAUUGCGAAGGCAGCUUACCAGGCUACUUCUGACGUUGAGGCACGAAAGCGUGGGGAGCGAACAGGAUUAGAUACCCUUGUAGUC